AUUCACUGCUAUAUAUCCUCCUCCCUAUUAUAGCAGUUUCGGGUUAGCGACCCUCCUCCCACGCUAGCCUGACAGAAAUAAUGCCCGUCACAUUUUCAUGUGGCGGGCAUUAUUC
RNAcentral lists this small RNA (115 nucleotides) under Paenochrobactrum gallinarii. Its description in RNAcentral is "ar14". It matches the Rfam family "Alphaproteobacterial ar14". Rfam says of the family: Smr14C2 was renamed NfeR1 (Nodule Formation Efficiency RNA) highly expressed in salt stress and during the symbiotic interaction on legume roots. Lineage: Bacteria; Pseudomonadati; Pseudomonadota; Alphaproteobacteria; Hyphomicrobiales; Brucellaceae. The record is from RNAcentral.